GCGCCCCGGCGUCCGGCUCCCAAGCAGCAUGCCCGCCCACGCCCCGCCGCGCCGCCCGCGUCUGCGGACGCCACCGCUGCUGCUGCUGCUGCUGGCCCUGGGCGGCCGCCGCCUGCGCGCCGAGCCCGGCGACGGCGCGCAGACCUGGGCCCGCUUCGCGCGCCCUCCGGCCCCGGGUGCCGCGGGGCUCUUCCACGACACCUUCCCCGACGGCUUCCACUGGGCCGUGGGCAGCGCCGCCUACCAGACGGAGGGCGGCUGGCGGCAGCACGGCAAGGGUGCGUCCAUCUGGGACACGUUCACCCACCACCCUCCGGCGCCUCCAGGCGACCCCCCGGUAGCCGGCCUGCCGUCGGGCGCCCCGUCGCUGUCCCCGCCCGCCACCGGGGACGUGGCCAGCGACGGCUACAACAAUGUCUUCCGCGACACGGAGGGGCUGCGCGAGCUCGGGGUCACCCACUACCGCUUCUCCAUCUCGUGGGCGCGGGUGUUCCCCAAUGGCAGCGCCGGCGCCCCCAACCGGGAGGGGCUGCGCUACUACCGGCGUCUGCUGGAGCGGCUGCGGGAGCUGGGCGUGCAGCCCGUGGUCACCCUGUACCACUGGGACCUGCCCCAGCGCCUGCAGGACGCCUAUGGCGGCUGGGCCAACCGCGCCCUAGCGGACCACUUCAGGGAUUACGCCGAGCUCUGCUUCCGCCACUUCGGCGGCCAGGUCAAGUACUGGAUCACCAUCGACAACCCCUACGUGGUGGCCUGGCACGGCUACGCCACCGGGCGCCUGGCCCCAGGCGUCCAGGGCAGCCCGCGGCUCGGGUACCUGGUGGCGCACAACCUCCUUCUGGCUCAUGCCAAAAUCUGGCAUCUCUACAAUACUUCUUUCCGCCCCACUCAGGGAGGCCAGGUGUCCAUUGCCCUGAGCUCCCACUGGAUCAGUCCUCGAAGAAUGACUGAACAUAGCAUCAAAGAAUGUCAGAAAUCUCUUGACUUUGUCCUAGGCUGGUUUGCCAAACCCAUAUUUAUUGAUGGGGACUAUCCUGAGAGCAUGAAGAAUAACCUUUCAUCUCUUCUGCCUGAUUUUACUGAAUCUGAGAAAAAGUUCAUCAAGGGAACAGCCGACUUUUUUGCUCUUUCCUUUGGACCAACCUUGAGUUUUCAACUGUUGGACCCUCAGAUGAAGUUCCGUCAGUUGGAAUCUCCCAGCCUGAGGCAACUCCUUUCCUGGAUUGACCUUGAGUAUAACCACCCUCAAAUAUUUAUUGUGGAAAAUGGCUGGUUUGUUUCAGGGACCACCAAGAGAGAUGAUGCCAAAUAUAUGUAUUACCUCAAAAAAUUCAUAAUGGAAACCUUAAAAGCCAUCAGGCUGGACGGGGUGGAUGUCAUUGGGUACACAGCGUGGUCCCUCAUGGAUGGCUUCGAGUGGCACAGAGGCUACAGCAUCAGACGUGGACUCUUCUACGUCGACUUUCUAAGCCAGGAUAAGAAGUUGUUGCCGAAGUCUUCAGCCUUGUUCUACCAGAAGCUGAUAGAGAAAAAUGGCUUCCCUCCUUUACCUGAAAAUCAACCCCUAGAAGGGACAUUUCCCUGUGACUUUGCUUGGGGAAUUGUUGACAACUACAUUCAAGUGGACACCACUCUGUCUCAGUUUACCGACCCCAGCGUUUACCUGUGGGAUGUCCACCACAGUAAAAGGCUUAUUAAGGUGGACGGGGUUGUGACCAAGAAGAGGAAAUCCUAUUGCGUUGACUUCGCCGCUAUCCGGCCCCAGAUCGCCUUACUCCAGGAAAUGCAUGUGUCGCAUUUCCACUUCUCCCUGGACUGGGCGCUGAUCCUGCCGCUGGGGAACCAGUCCCAGGUCAACCGCACGGUCCUGCGCUACUAUCGCUGCGUGGCCAGCGAGCUCGUGCGCGCCAACAUCACCCCGGUGGUGGCCCUGUGGCGCCCCGCCGCCCCGCACCAGGGGCUGCCGCCACCCCUGGCCCGGCACGGCGCCUGGGAGAACCCUCACACCGCCCUGGCUUUUGCGGAGUACGCCAGCCUGUGCUUUCGAGACCUCGGCCACCACGUCAAGUUCUGGAUCACAAUGAACGAGCCGUCCACGCGGAACAUGACGUAUAGCGCGGGGCACCACCUCCUGAAGGCCCACGCGUUGGCCUGGCGCGUGUACGAUGAGAAGUUUAGGCGCUCUCAGAAGGGUAAAAUAUCCAUCGCCCUGCAGGCGGAUUGGAUAGAACCAGCCUGCCCUCUCUCUCCAAAAGACCAAGAAGUGGCCGAGCGAGUUUUGCAAUUUGACAUUGGCUGGCUGGCCGAGCCCAUUUUCGGCUCCGGGGAUUAUCCACGCGUGAUGAGGGCCUGGCUGAACCAGAGAAACAAUUUCCUCCUGCCUUAUUUCACUGACGAGGAAAAAAAGCUAAUCCGGGGUUCCUUUGACUUUUUGGCUUUAAGCCAUUACACCACCAUCCUUGUAGACUGGGAAAAAGAAGAUCCAGUAAAAUAUAAUGAUUACCUGGCAGUGCAAGAAAUGACCGACAUCACCUGGCUCAACUCCCCAAGUCAGGUGGCCGUGGUGCCCUGGGGGUUACGCAAGGUACUGAACUGGCUGAAGUCCAAGUACGGAGACCUCCCCAUGUAUAUAAUCUCCAACGGCAUCGACGAUGAUCCGCACGCAGCCGAAGACAAUCUGAGGGUGUAUUACAUGAAGAAUUAUGUAAACGAAGCUCUGAAAGAAUAUGAUCUGAGUGGUGAAGAAAGGGAUCUGAAAGCAGGAGUGAAGUUCGAGGCUGGAAGACGGUAGGGGCGGGGAGGGUGCCCCAAGCUAAUCCCUAUGUUUGAGCUGAGAGGGAAUUUCAGACACUGAAAGAGACAGGAGACGCCAAAGAACCAAAGAGAAAUGACACUUCAGCAUCAUUCAGCAAAGUUAUCAGAGACCAUUCCCUUGGAAGUCCUACAUCUCAAUACCUUUUGGGGCCAGCUCUGCAGCGGCAUUAAGUGGUGGCAAGGCAGUAAACUGCUGUCCUAUCCUCAUCUGUAGACUACUCACUAGGUUAGAGAAGAAAAACAUUUCAACCUACACAUUAAUGGAUUCAGAAAGGCUUAGGAAAAAGAGUCAGCAAGACCCAUGUUCAAAAAUUUGCUGAGCCUCAGUUUCCUCAUCUGUGAAACGGGAGUAACAUACUUCCACCUACCUGCUGAUGCCUGAAAUCCUUGUAACAGGAGAGAAAGCCUCUGAUGCCCGAUAAGGAGAUAAAAGACUUCAUUAUGCAAAUCUACAGUGGAGCAGCUCUGUCUGAAACAUUCAUAUGAAAAUGUCACCAAUCAGCUUUUCAUCAGGCGGGAUGACUGAUAACCACGGGAAUGGCAGAGGCUUCCGCCACCCUUGACGUGAGCACAGGGAUGGGAAGGCGAGGAAGCCCCAACAUAGGGCUGGCACCCGCUGUGCCCACAGGAGCAGCGUGGUGAUGUUUCCCAAGAUGACUCGGAUUUAGGGCAGCGAAUCCACGCGCGUGCCUGGUGUGAUGAUCUUCUGGGUCUUGGGGUGGAGCCAUGCGGCCAGGGCGUGAAGAUGUUCAGCAUUUGAUAAUUUCAGAAACAGUUGCAUCUAACUUCUUGGAAGACCAGCUAAUUCUCCAUUCUCUGUGCUACUGGAGAGUUGAAGUAGUCAGACACAAAAUAUUGCAAAACUUUAAUGAAGUCUAUCUUAAGAGCAUCAUAUGUAGCAACAGUAGAAUUCCCUGAAGCUGAAAUGGUCCAGGACUCUUGAAUGACCAUCAUCUCCCUUAAUCUGGUGUCCAGAGUUAAAUUCAGUGCAAUACAUUGGUAAGAAAAUGCCAAUUAACUGUGACCAAAUAGGCCACUGGUCAACUAGAAUGACAUUUAAGAACAUUAUGAAAUGUAAGUAUGAAAACGCAACAAAACACAGAGGCUCCCUUUGGCUGUGAAUCUGCAAAAGCCAUUAUAUUCAGCUCUCAUCAGCAGGGAAAUACAGGCUCUCUUUGAGUCACUGGGCUGACUCUAGUGGUCCAUGGGCAUCUAACAUGUCACUGAAACUGUAUCUGCUGGCCCCACGGCAAGCGGUAAUCUAGCCUUACAUUCGGGAACAACUCCUCACCCACUUCUUUGCUUUAAAGAGGACUAAAUAUUAUUUUCCUUGCUUUAUCCAACACCCCACUCUCAGUUUUUGAAUAACACAAACAAACAAGCUGACAACAUGUAAGGACCAUUUAAUGUGUUUUCCUUUGGUUGGCUAACCUUUGGUAAGACAUCAGGGCGGACUACAUAUUUUCACACUUUGGUGUCAUCAGCAGAUUCUGCUCAGCUUACAGGACGGUGGGGAGACAGCGCCCAGAACAACUUUGAAAGAACCAGGUGAGGAAGGGACUCACCGAAUCAGACUCGUUCCUUUUCAAAAUAAUAUGCAAUUAUAUAUAAAAUUGAUAUUUUACAUCAUAUAUACAGUAAAGAUAGAGAUAUACACACAUAUGUACAUAUGCUAUACAUACAUUUAUCUACAGUUAAGAAUACGCUUCUUAGAAGCCUUUAAAUAGCAAAUUAGGCAAUGCACAAGGAAUAAUCCAUUUAAUUUUAAGUAACAUAGAUAAAUGUUCUGAUUUUUAAAAAUAUUAUAUUAGUAGGGAUGUAGCCGUCUCCAGGAAGGCUAGGAAAGUUCUCAGAAAUUCUUGCAUCUUCAACAUUCCGACUUCUCAGUGCUUCCAUUUAUAAGCAUUGUCAAUCGGUUUCUCUCUCUCCCUUGCUUUCUCACGCGCACACUCUCUCCCACAAGUGUUUGCUUUCACUUCCUCUUCCCUGAGUUUGAUGUCACACUGGGGAAAACUCAGAUUUUAGUUUCUGGACCCUCAGCAAUGAGGGGCUGAAAAGAGUUUCUAAUCCUGGCGACUUCCGCUGCACACAGAUGUCCAAAGCCUUUAUUGUACCAUUCUGGGGAGUGACCUCUGCGGGGACAAAAAUCAGAAAGGAAGUGGGAAAGUCUUUUCCCAAAUCACGACAAUUUGUCACGGUCGACAGGGCUGUGCUUGUGCCCUGAAUGUCAGCCCACCUGCAUGACACUCGGGGCUGCUGCUCCGAGGCUCUGAGAACCUCAUUCUGUCAACAGGGGCCUUGAAAAUGCCUUUUUGGCCAAGUAUUCGGUCUAUCUUUCCAGUAUUCACCGGGUGCUUUAAAAUGACAGCGUCUCCUCAGGGGUGAUUCAGACUUAAUUCUAGAAUUUACUGAGAAAACCCAGCUUAUAUCCACCCAGACCAAGAACUCAGCAUCAUGAAUGCCUUGAAGGGGUUGGAUUUAAGUUAGUUCCCUCUCAAAGGAGGACAACUGGAGGGAGCUGCAAAAGGGACAGGCUGAGAAGAAACACAAGAGGACUCGUAUUUACUGAGCACCUACUACAUCCCGGGCUCUAGUGCUGGUGUUUGCCCCGUGCUCGAAGCACAGAAGUAUAAGUGGGACAAAACGGAAAAUAAAGGUGAGCAGAGGACUUUCUCCUGAAAGUCAGAAUUUUAGCAAGGGCGGAAAGAGGAAAAGCGAGGGGGAGGCACACGUAAUCUUCUAGAAAGCAUGUUAAUGGCAAGAGGAAUAAAAGGACAGUGAAAUAAGGGACCAGAUGAGAAACAGGGCCCCAGCGAAUGUGCGGUGAGCCCGCGCCCGCCGCCCCCAGGAGCCCGCUCACCUCAGGUCCACCCUGCAGAUGUGCGUCAGCCUCGACUUGCCGGACCCACACGGCUCCAUUAAGUACUGAGAGUCCAUCACCACGGCCCGCACACCACCCAUGAGCUGGGCUUCCUCGUGCUCCACGGAGAGGGACACCAGGGUGCACAUUCCUUUGGGCAAAUCAGUCUUCCAGGUCCUGCAGCAAAACAAACCCGCACGUCGGAAUUAGGGCUGAGAGAGAAAGAAAACCCUGAGCACAGCGCUGAGGUUUACACUUAUAUUUUCUUGCUCAAAUUCCAAGCCCAGUUACUUGGACUAAGCUAAUGGUUUCCAUAAGCGCAUGUGAACUUUAUACCGUGCAGUUGAAAGCAAGGGUCUCAGCCCUCUGACCCAGAGGUCAGAAACGGUCUUGCAGCUUUCAGAACUGCUUUCGGAAUCCCAAACUGAGGCUGCGGAGGCUCCCGCACAUUACUGAAGGGCUGGUCUCACCCGUUUGGGAAUUAGGACUCGCCCAUUCAAGUCUUUCACCAAAUAUCUAUUGGGUGUGCCAAGCUCUGAGAAGCCACUGAAGACAUAAAGGUCUACAGCCCAGGAGGAGAAACAGACCUACCAAGAGAACCCUAAAGCACCACGGCAAGUGCAGUGAUAUGGCUGUGCAAAGAGCGCUCUGAGAUCAUGUACAGGGGAUGGCUUCCUGGAGGAGGUGGUGCUCAACUCAAGUCUGAAAGGAUGCUUAGCUUGAAGAAAACUAGAUACAUGCAGACUGCUAAUUGCCUUCAAGUCCCUGAGUGGCUCUUGAGCAGGAGAAGAAAUAAAUACAGUUGAUUUGCCUCCAGAAAGCAGAGAUAUGAAGGUAUGUUUUAAUUUAGUGCAGACAAGAGCCGUCUCACAAUGUGUACUCUUCAAAAAUGGAAUGGGCUAUAUGAGGGGUAGUGAGUUCACUGUUCCUGGAGCUAUUCAAGCAUGGGGGGCGGUGUACCACUUGGGAAAAGGUUGUAGAUGGAAGUCAGGAAUCAUGAGAGCAUCUCUGUAGCAACCAUUUCUACCAUAGGAUGUAGGUUUGAUUAUUAUAAUCUUAGUUAUUUACAUUACAAGUCCUAUCCCCUUGCUUAGUUGUCUCAUCUCUAACUUCGUGCUGUCCUACCUCACCAGAAAGAGAAACUAUUACCUAGAACUAGGGAAUAAGCAAGCCCUACACAAAUGCUUAGCAACUUCUCCAUGGGUGUGACCAUUCUCUUUUCAUACAUAAGGCUGUGAUUAAUAACAAAGACUGAAAGCUGUACAGAUUUGUGGGGAUAGGAGACCAGCCUCAUGCGUGCUAGCCUAGACAAGGAGACGCUCUGAAAACAGGAAGUGCCUCAGCCCUGGACUCCUCUCCAUACCUGUCACUUUCUACCUCUUGUAUCAUAAUCACAAGGAAUUCCUGCUGCAGGAAACACAUCUGGUUCAUUAUUAAUCCUCUUGGGUGCCGAGUUCUCCCUCAGCCUCAUGGUCCACCCACCUUCUUCUUCAAGUCUUGGAUCAAAUAUCAACACAGUGAGACUCUGCUCUGACCACUAUAUUUGAAAUUCUACCCUUUCCUAUCAUCCCCCUAAGAUAAGUAAUCCUAUCCCCCUUGCUCAUUAUUUAUUGACUCUAUUCCUAUCCCCCUUGCUUAUUAUUUAUUGACUCUAUCUCCCUAAUAAAAUAUAAAGGGUUGUGGUCUGUUGUGCUCCCUGCAGUAUCCCCGGAGCCUCCAACAGUGCCUGGCACGAGGCAGUGAUGGAAUGAUACAUGAGAAACAGCAGGCGGUGGCACUGCAGGAUGAGUGGAACGAGGGCGGUUCCAUGCACGGACUCCGGCCCUCGGCCUCCCCUAAGGGAGUGAAGAGGCAGGCCAUGGCAUGGCUCCAACCCCCCGUGGCUGCCGUCCUAGAGCGAUUUGAUCUUCUGCUUGCGAGAGUGAAGGUGUAAAGUUUAACUUCCACGAGAUGAGUGAUGUCCCAAUCACUGUGCGUUUCCACCACCUUCCACUGCACGAAAUCCUCAUCCCACAGGUGGCGCUCCCUCAGCACGCGAUUCAAAACCACCGAGGGGGGCGCUUCCACCUCCACAGAAGCCUUCCAUAGCCUCAGCGGAUGCCCGUCUCCCACCUUGGGAAAGAUACCAGCACAGGCUGAAGAGGUUGCUGGUUCCAACACAACCUACCAUCCUUCACUGGGUGUUCAAAAAACAUCACUGAGUACGUAACUUGAAAGAGUGACUCUGCAUACCUCAGGUUUAGAAUUUUUAAAUGUUUAUCCUUAAGCUGAAAAGAAGAAUACUGAUAAUAAAAAUGAUAACCACCAACACACAGUGCUCCCUGUGUACCAGGCAUUGUUCUGAUUUUUAAACAGCCCUCCUCUGACAGUGGUCCUACUAUUAUGUCCAUUAUGCAAAUAAGAAAGCAGAGGCACAGAGAGGCGAGUGACUCGCCCAACGUCACACAGCUACGGGACAGAGCCAGGCCUGGGCUCCAGCAGUCCGGCUCCACAGUCUGCAGUCUGAUUAUGUGCAAACAGACUCUAGAGUGGGUGGUUGACUGAUUCGUGUGUGGUGAAGCCCUGGGAACAGAGUAGCCAUUUUAAAAGCAAAACAAAUCCCUGGUUGUAAGACUUGGCUCUUAGGGGGUAAUUUUUUCCAAGACCUGAGAUUACCUUUUUGAAAGCAAGAUCUGUGUUGUCUGUGUUGGAACACGUGACCCAUCCUUUGAACUUUUCCUUGGUUUCCUUCUGGAGGCCCUGGAUGAGAUGCUCCAGGUACGUGUGGAAAGUGGCCCCGCUCUCCUCCAUCUGGGCCCCCAGGUCUUCCAGAGUUGGGGGAUGCACCUCAGCCUCCAUAUAUGAGUUAUGAGACUGGGCCACCAUCUCAAGCGGGACCUGAACCGAUGGACGCACAGAAGAGCAACACACUGAGCUACAGAAGUGCUGAGACUGACAGAGAAAGCAAAGUAGCAUCGCCAAAGACCACGGUACGGGCGAUGGGCUGAGUGCCGUGGGGCAAGAGAUGUUUGUCUAAGAUCAGCGAAGGGGUCGGGGGCGGGCUUCCUCAAGUCAGGAAACCCAAAUCUGGUUGAGGCUAUAUUUAUUAUUCAAAACACUGCCAUGACUUCCCAUUCAUUCUUUCCAUUUUCCUUUGAUUUUACUUAUUAUAUACAUUUUUAUUCAGUUUGGCAAAACUUGGGCUCAGGAAACUUAAAGUGCACAGACUUAAGGGGAACGUCAAGCAUGGCUUAGAGGCAGCUUUAACUUUGUGGCACACUUUUCCCUUUUACAAAUGACAACUUUGCCCCAACAAGUAUGCCGGAAGUCUAGUUCACUUAAUCCUUUAGCGUAUCUGUAGCUGUAUUCAUAAGCUGUCACUGAUUCUGAGUUCACAGCGAUUGUUCAGUAUCACACAUUCACACACACACACACACACACACUGAAUCUAAUCAAGUCUCGAGGUUACAUCAAAUAUACUGUACUUGGCUGGCUGGCCUGGGACCUGGCACCUGAAGUUGAUGCAACUGUUUUCAUAAAAACCAUCAUCAUGGUAAACCCAGGUGUCUUUAGCCGUCAAAGCCUCAACUAUUCAAUAUAUAAGCUCACUCCUCACAUUUCUAGGAGGCAAAGACCAGACCUAUCGAGUGCACCAUUGUCAUUAUAAAAUCAGGAAAAACCAGAAAUAAGCCAUAAAUGCAGCAACCACUCCAAGCGUCUUAGCGAGUUCCAAGAGCUAUAAGGAAGGCAGUUGGAGCCUUUCACUCACCUCAAAAAGCCUGUCGCAUUCCAUGAUCAUGUGGGCCAGCCCCUGAGCUGCGGCCAGAUUCUCACUGAGGUCUUUUUGAUCUGGCUUCCCGGAGGCAUAUUUCUUCUGGCUAACUCUGUAAUUGAAGGGGAGAGUCCUCAGCGGAUCCCAAACCCAAGAGCUUUUCACAGUACAGAGCUCAUCGCUUUGUCAUGUCUUCAUGCCCAGAUGCCACCCAGAUCCCAUACUUUCUCAUUUCCAAAUAAAAACAGUGACUACACAUCUUAGAUAUCCUGAGUCAUGCUAAGAGUCUGACAGUUCAUAAUGGAAAACCUUGGAAAAAUACACGGGCAGGAAUAACUGUUGGGGGAGAAAUUAAUCUAUUUUUCCCAAGUUUGAAACUACUUCACUGCAAGCUGCCGUGCUUGGGCCUUAAAUCUAGCCUUUUAAAAUUGAAGAUUGUAAAAUACUACUUUGUGUACUUUUUCCCUCCUUCCCACUAACACACACAAAACAAAACAAAACAAAACUCCAGGCUUUCGGGAUCACAAAGGACACUGUGCUGCUUUGAUAAUUCCCUGAUGCUGAGCCACACAAAUUAUGUUCCUCCAAACAUUUUCUGAUUAUGAAUGAAGUGCUGACAAAUCCCCAACUUGAAAUACAGCGGGAGUGUUUUUAAGUAGCCAUGGGGAAUACCUGGUUUAGGAUUAGGGUUCUUGCUGAGGAAAACCCACCUGGGGGAGCUUUCCUUCUUCAGUAAAUUCAGAUGGAAGAGGGAGGGGGCCAGACACACAGCCAGGUUCAUGGGCGUCAUCUGAUUCUCCUCCACCGCGUGGACCACGUCGUUGAGGAAGCACAGCAGCGUCUGCAGCACCUCCCUGCUCUCAUCGGCCAGCAGCAGGACGGCCGCCUGCACUGCCUGCAACUGCUGCUCUUUGGGGACGUCUGCAGAAAACGCGGUGCCGGGAGUUAGAGGGACAGCCGCAGAAGGAGCCAGCGGGAGAGGGGGAGCGAGCGCUCCCUUCCUGCGAGCACGCUCAGGGUCACUGUCGGCAUCAACAGUGACAUGACAACGGCUAAGGGCGCGGAGCUGCCCCAGGUGGUGAGAAGCUUGACGAGCUGCCGUUGGAAGGAACCCCCCAGUCUCACUCCAGAACCCAUAGUCUUAACAGCGAGGCUGGACUUGGCAAGGAACACCCUGCGCUGGCUUUUCAUACUCUUGGAGCAAUCUGCCUCCUCACCUACCUGUCUCAAACCUCUUGCCCAUCCUCCCUCCCACCCCACCUCCAGCUUGUGAAGCAUCCCUCAGGACGCCCAGGGCUUGGGGAAGAGGGACCAGGCUCCUCCCUCUCGGGCCCAUCCCCCAUCUGGGUGGUCCCUGGGGUGGUGGGCGCUGGUCCGCAGGCUUGAAAGGGAGUUGGCCUGAACAGUAUGAGGUAACUAAAAGGAAAAAGUACAGGAAAAUGGGUGCUCCGUGCUGCAUUCUGCUGCCCCCUGGCUGUGUUUGUUAAUGAUCUUUGAGGCCUGACUCACCACCCUCAUUCCUCUCACUCUGAAAGACACCGUCAGGAGCUCACAUGGGCUAACACGGUUGUCUUUCUUACAAUACCAGGUUCUAGAGCAGGUCUCUGCAGCAGGUGUCUGUGCUCCAAAGGGGGUGUGGGAAAAAACUAUUGGAACUUCCAAUGGUGUUUGUUUUCUCUCAUGCUUUAAAAAUACUGAUGGGAUGUGUCUUAUGAUAUGCACAGUAUAUUAUAAUAUAUCACAAUAUAUUUAUA
This is an RNA transcript of Balaenoptera ricei (Rice's whale), 11179 nucleotides long. It is a transcript of the gene named klotho, with no coding region annotated. The transcript is spliced from 12 exons. NCBI's taxonomy places the organism in Eukaryota, Metazoa, Chordata, Mammalia, Artiodactyla, Balaenopteridae. The record is from RefSeq and is a predicted model, not a curated record.